RNAcentral lists this transfer RNA (84 nucleotides) under Echinostoma caproni. It matches the Rfam family "tRNA". Rfam says of the family: Transfer RNA (tRNA) molecules are approximately 80 nucleotides in length. Their secondary structure includes four short double-helical elements and three loops (D, anti-codon, and T loops). Further hydrogen bonds mediate the characteristic L-shaped molecular structure. tRNAs have two regions of fundamental functional importance: the anti-codon, which is responsible for specific mRNA codon recognition, and the 3' end, to which the tRNAs corresponding amino acid is attached (by aminoacyl-tRNA synthetases). tRNAs cope with the degeneracy of the genetic code in two manners: having more than one tRNA (with a specific anti-codon) for a particular amino acid; and 'wobble' base-pairing, i.e. permitting non-standard base-pairing at the 3rd anti-codon position. The record is from Rfam by way of RNAcentral. Lineage: Eukaryota; Metazoa; Platyhelminthes; Trematoda; Plagiorchiida; Echinostomatidae.
GUCCUCGUAGCUCAGCUGGUAGAGCGUACGCUGUGCAACUACGUCGGCGGCGUCCAUGCGUGAGUUCGAUUCCCACCGAGGUUA